AGAGUUUGAUCCUGGCUCAGGAUGAACGCUGGCGGUCUGCUUAACACAUGCAAGUCGAACGCAGUACUUCGGUACUGAGUGGCGGACGGGUGAGUAACGCGUGAGAAUCUGCCUAGAGGUCGGGGACAACCAUUGGAAACGAUGGCUAAUACCGGAUAUGCCUUACGGGGUGAAAGAUUAAUCGCCUUUAGAAGAGCUCGCGUCUGAUUAGCUAGUUGGUAGGGUAAAAGCCUACCAAGGCAUCGAUCAGUAGCUGGUCUGAGAGGAUGACCAGCCACACUGGGACUGAGACACGGCCCAGACUCCUACGGGAGGCAGCAGUGGGGAAUUUUCCGCAAUGGGCGAAAGCCUGACGGAGCAAGACCGCGUGAGGGAGGAAGGCUCUUGGGUUGUAAACCUCUUUUGUCAGGGAAGAACACAAUGACGGUACCUGACGAAUCAGCAUCGGCUAACUCCGUGCCAGCAGCCGCGGUAAUACGGAGGAUGCAAGCGUUAUCCGGAAUUAUUGGGCGUAAAGCGUCCGCAGGUGGCUUAUCAAGUCUGCGGUCAAAGACCGGGGCUUAACUUCGGAAAGGCAGUGGAAACUGAACAGCUAGAGUAUGGUAGGGGCAGAGGGAAUUCCUGGUGUAGCGGUGAAAUGCGUAGAGAUCAGGAAGAACAUCGGUGGCGAAGGCGCUCUGCUGGACCAUAACUGACACUCAGGGACGAAAGCUAGGGGAGCGAAUGGGAUUAGAUACCCCAGUAGUCC
RNAcentral lists this ribosomal RNA (748 nucleotides) under uncultured bacterium. RNAcentral describes it as "bacterial SSU rRNA". It matches the Rfam family "Bacterial small subunit ribosomal RNA", at positions 8 to 796 of the family's 1533-position model. The record is from RNAcentral.